Molecule: ribosomal RNA, 484 nt
Filed under: uncultured bacterium
Lineage: Bacteria
Description: partial 16S ribosomal RNA
Rfam family: Bacterial small subunit ribosomal RNA
Source: RNAcentral
AUUGAACGCUGGCGGCAGGCCUAACACAUGCAAGUCGAGCGGAUGAAGGGAGCUUGCUCCUGGAUUCAGCGGCGGACGGGUGAGUAAUGCCUAGGAAUCUGCCUGGCAGUGGGGGAUAACGUCCGGAAACGGGCGCUAAUACCGCAUACGUCCUGAUGGUGAAAGUGGGGGAUCUUCGGACCUCACGCUAUCAGAUGAGCCUAGGUCGGAUUAGCUAGUUGGUUGGGUAACGGCCUACCAAGGCGACGAUCCGUAACUGGUCUGAGAGGAUGAUCAGUCACACUGGAACUGAGACACGGUCCAGACUCCUACGGGAGGCAGCAGUGGGGAAUAUUGGACAAUGGGCGAAAGCCUGAUCCAGCCAUGCCGCGUGUGUGAAGAAGGUCUUCGGAUCGUAAAGCACUUUAAGUUGGGAGGAAGGGCAGUAAGUUAAUACCUUGCUGUUUUGACGGUACCAACAGAAUAAGCACCGGCUAACUACGUG